GACCUGGGGUCCCUGCUUCUCCAGGUGCUCCCGGAUUUUGCUCUCUAGCCUCCGGUUCUCGGUCUCCAGGCUCCUCACUCUGUCCAGAUGUGGGCCACCAGCCUUAAGCCAGAGGGAGCUUUGUAAGACAGGAACAUAUAAAAUGAUAAAAGCUUCUCUACGUACAGUUUUCCUGACUCUGAUUCUGCGUGGGACAACCAGUGAAAAUUGCAGGUGAAGAGAAGAAAUGCGUAUUUAUUCCUCCACUGGGAAAAAAAAUACCAUCCAAAGCUACAUGACUUGAGAGACAAGGUCUCACUAUGUUGCCCAGGCUGGCCUCGAACUCCCGGGCUUCAGCAGUCCUCCCGCCUCACCCUCCGAUGUAGCUAGGACUACAGGACCGCGACCCGGCGCUGCCUAAGAACUGUUUUUAAACGUGAAAGCCACGGCUAUCAUUUGCUUUUUGCUCUGCUCUUCAUCUUCUGGAUAAACCUCGUAACACACUGCUUGUUUUGGGUGGUAGUCUGCUGCCUACGCCCCGUCAGACAAGUGGCCUGAGUCCCCCGCAACCCCUGCAGGUCCGGCCGCCGGCGCCAAGCCUCAAGGCAUCCAAGCCAGGAACGAUCGCGGUCAGCUCUGCCACGGAACAUGUGCAAGACCCGGCAGCAGGUUCCGGGGGAGGCGAAUUGAUUUCACAACGGUCGAGAAGGAGGACCCCGCCCACUUCGUCAUUUCUCGGAAGCCCAGGGACUCGCCGGAAGAGCGGCUCAAAAGCCGGAAAACUGGCAAAUCCGAGUCUCCCGGCGCAUGCGCGGCGCAAUCGGCUUCGCGUGGUUGCAGUAGAGAGGAUCCCUCCGCCAGCCACUGCAUCCGGCGGCCGGAUCUAACUUACCCGCUAGCGUUUUACCCUUGCGCGGCCGUGGCGUAGGGCGGUCUUUUCCCUUGGUCCUCCGCGGCGCCGCCUCUUGUGACGUAAGCCGCAGAAUCCUCUGUCUUAGUUCGGCUCUAUUGCCGCGAGCUUGACUCUUCCUGGGUCUGAGGAAAAGUAAAAGUAAUUUUGUCAUUUCCUGAAACUUCAAGUUAAACCUUUAAGCUGUUCAUUUCCUAAAAGGGUGAAAACGCGGGCACCCCUCGAGCUAGUUCAUCGCCUUUUAACCUGUUGUUGGAUCUUUCCAGAUCACCACACCACAUCACCCAGCCACUCUGCCCAAUGGGAGGGCAGACAGUGUUCCAGUGUAGGAGGAAGGGGUGUAAGGUGCGGGCAGUUUGUGAGGAGGGCACCAACGAGAGCUACUGUGAGAAAGUCUGCAUGGUCAAAAAGUGGAUUACCAAGAACAAAGCAUCAUAAUGUUGUCCAGUGGACCCCAGAAAACUGACAACUGUUUAGAACAAAGCCAAAGAUGAAACCAAAUAUAAAACCACUGAUGAAAACUAAGUGAAAAAUAUAAGCAAAAUAGAAGAAAAAUAAGGUCGUUAUUUCAAGAAAACGAAAGACAGUCAAUGCUGUUCUUUGUAUUCACAUACAAUUUGGUUCACACCAAAAUGUGAGUUGUUCUCUAUGAGAUGUUAUUAAAUGUUCCUAAGAAGACUCGCUUUAGAAAAAAACAGUAUUCCUAAGGCAUGUCCAAUCUGUCUCUUUUCUUAAUUGCUAUAGUUCUACUUUAUUAUUAUAAUGUAUUCAGCAUUAAAAUUCAUUAUUUCCCAAUAAGCUUGACUUUAUCUUAUAAUGAAAUACAACUGUCUUCUUGGUGAUUUUUAUAGGAGAUAUUAUGGAAAUAUUUUAUUAACAGAAGUAAAUAAAGUGUCAUAUCAUUUGGCUUUUCAGCCGUGUUAUAACAUUUGCAUUUUGUUUUUUCUGCCUUUACCCUCCCUGCUUCUAGCUGCAUAAAAUAAUGCAUUUUAAAAAUAAAAAUACAUUAUUUUUCAACAUAUGUGUGACAAUAAAAAGAUCACUGGGUCAGGGGUCAGACGAUCUGAGUUCUGCCCUUUCAUUUUCUUAUCUGUAAAAAUGAUUCCUAAGAUUCCUUCUAUUACUAACAUUUUAUAAUCUACAUUCAAAUUUUAUGUGAAAGUUUAGUGCAUCCGAGAUAACUAUUUUCAAAUAAGAAUCUCUUUUGAUGCUAACAUCUAUGCAUCAAAUUCUUCAUUCUCAAGUUGUAAGUUGCUCUUUACAUAAUUUCACCUAUGUACAUAUAUUCUAUAGAAAAAAGAGACAUUCCAGUAUCUUAACAAUGUCAAAAAGGAUAUACUGACACUAACAUUAACUGGAGAUUGGAAGACUAGACAAAUCAAGGCUAGAACUACAUAAGGGAAGCUAUUCUCCCAAAUACGCUGUUUUUGCUGUUGUUUAACCAAAGAUAUCUUCCCUUUCAUUCUUCUUUUUUAAAGCUAAGGAUAUUUAAGACAUUAAUAUGUUUGGCUAACUGAUUAAUA
RNAcentral lists this long non-coding RNA (2412 nucleotides) under Homo sapiens (human). RNAcentral's name for it is "HSALNT0315643". Lineage: Eukaryota; Metazoa; Chordata; Mammalia; Primates; Hominidae. The record is from RNAcentral.